RNAcentral lists this ribosomal RNA (253 nucleotides) under uncultured bacterium. Its description in RNAcentral is "partial 16S ribosomal RNA". It matches the Rfam family "Archaeal small subunit ribosomal RNA", at positions 474 to 727 of the family's 1478-position model. The record is from RNAcentral.
UACAGAGGGGGCAAGCGUUAUUCGGAAUCAUUGGGCCUAAAGCGUCCGUAGCUGGCUUGUUAGAUGCCUGGGUAAAUCGAUGCGCUCAACGCAUCGAACUCCGGGUAGACCGGCAAGCUUGGGACCGGGAGAGGCGUGAGCUACUCGAGGGGUAGGGGUAAAAUCCUGUAAUCCUUCGGGGAGGACCAGUGGCGAAGGCGUCACGCUAGAACGGCUCCGACAGUGAGGGACGAAGCCCUGGGGCGCAAACCGG